This 468-nucleotide ribosomal RNA is filed under the name uncultured bacterium. Its description in RNAcentral is "bacterial SSU rRNA". It matches the Rfam family "Bacterial small subunit ribosomal RNA", at positions 917 to 1382 of the family's 1533-position model. The record is from RNAcentral.
GGACCCGCACAAGCAGCGGAGCAUGUGGUUUAAUUCGAAGCAACGCGAAGAACCUUACCAAGGCUUGACAUCCCCUUGACAGGUACAGAGAUGUACCAUCAUUUUCGAAUGCAAGGGAGACAGGUGGUGCAUGGUUGUCGUCAGCUCGUGUCGUGAGAUGUUGGGUUAAGUCCCGCAACGAGCGCAACCCUUAUCCUUAGUUGCCAGCAAGUUAAGUUGGGCACUCUAGGGAGACUGCCGGUGAUAAACCGGAGGAAGGUGGGGAUGACGUCAAAUCAUCAUGCCCCUUAUGUCUUGGGCUACACACGUGCUACAAUGGUCGGUACAACGGGAAGCGAAGGAGCGAUCCGGAGCAAAUCCCAAUAAACCGAUCCCAGUUCGGAUUGCAGGCUGCAACUCGCCUGCAUGAAGUCGGAGUUGCUAGUAAUCGCGAAUCAGAACGUCGCGGUGAAUGCGUUCCCGGGUCUU